AUAUGCUUCUGCAAAGGUAGAGUCUCUAUGUAGGUGUGCUGGGGAUGAAGUGUGUGUCUGUGUGUGUGCUGGGGAUGUAGUGUGUCUGUGUGUGUGCAGGGGAUGUGGUAUGUGUCUGUGUGUAUGCUGGGGAUAUAGUAUGUGUCUGUGUGCGUUCUGGGGAUGUAGUAUAUGUCUGUGUGUGCUGGGGAUAUAGCAUGUGCCUGUGUGUAUGCUGGGGAUGUAGCUUGUGUCUGUGUGUGCACUGUAG
Non-coding RNA from Pelobates cultripes (western spadefoot toad), 250 nucleotides. The record is from the annotation of a GenBank genome assembly. Lineage: Eukaryota; Metazoa; Chordata; Amphibia; Anura; Pelobatidae.